This 208-nucleotide small nuclear RNA is filed under the name Zea mays. Its description in RNAcentral is "U2 spliceosomal RNA". The stretch from base 1 to 170 matches the Rfam family "U2 spliceosomal RNA". Rfam says of the family: U2 is a small nuclear RNA (snRNA) component of the spliceosome (involved in pre-mRNA splicing). Complementary binding between U2 snRNA (in an area lying towards the 5' end but 3' to hairpin I) and the branchpoint sequence (BPS) of the intron results the bulging out of an unpaired adenosine, on the BPS, which initiates a nucleophilic attack at the intronic 5' splice site, thus starting the first of two transesterification reactions that mediate splicing. The record is from Rfam by way of RNAcentral. Lineage: Eukaryota; Viridiplantae; Streptophyta; Magnoliopsida; Poales; Poaceae.
AUACCUUCUCGACCUUUGUCUAAGAUAAAGUAUAAUAUUUGUUCUUAUUAGUUUAAUAUUUUAUAUGUGGACCAUAUGUUCACUUUGGUAUUAAACUUAUUUUUUAUAGGUAUCGAUCACACAUGUGCACCGUACUAAGUAGCUCUUUACGCCUAAGCUUGCGAUCCUUGCCCUACGCCACGUGCUGUUCCACGUCGUGGCCCUCUCU